GGGGAAUUUUCCGCAAUGGGCGAAAGCCUGACGGAGCAAGACCGCGUGGGGGAGGAAAGCCUUUGGGUUGUAAACCCCUUUUGUCAGGGAAGAAGACAGUGACGGUACCUGACGAAUCAGCCUCGGCUAACUCCGUGCCAGCAGCCGCGGUAAUACGGAGGAGGCAAGCGUUAUCCGGAAUAAUUGGGCGUAAAGCGUCCGUAGGUGGCCCGGCAAGUCGGUUGUCAAAGACCUCAGCUCAACUGAGGAAAGGCAAGGGAAACUGCAAGGCUAGAGUGCGGUAGGGGUAGAGGGAAUUCCCAGUGUAGCGGUGAAAUGCGUAGAGAUCGGGAAGAACAUCGGUGGCGAAAGCGCUCUACUGGACGGUAUCUGACACUGAGGGACGAAAGCUAGGGGAGCGAAUGGGAUUAGAUACCCCAGUAGUC
This 425-nucleotide ribosomal RNA is filed under the name uncultured Oscillatoria sp. Its description in RNAcentral is "bacterial SSU rRNA". It matches the Rfam family "Bacterial small subunit ribosomal RNA", at positions 356 to 795 of the family's 1533-position model. The record is from RNAcentral. Lineage: Bacteria; Bacillati; Cyanobacteriota; Cyanophyceae; Oscillatoriales; Oscillatoriaceae.